GAUGAACGCUAGCGGCAGGCCUAAUACAUGCAAGUCGGACGGGAUUCAGGAGCUUGCUUCUGAUGAGAGUGGCGCACGGGUGCGUAACACGUAUGUAACCUACCUUUAUCAGGGGGAUAGCCUCUCGAAAGAGAGAUUAAGCCCGCAUAAAAUCACAGCACAGCAUUGUGUAAUGAUCAAAUAUUUAUAGGAUAAAGAUGGGCAUGCGGAACAUUAGCUAGAUGGCGGGGUAACGGCCCACCAUGGCGACGAUGUUUAGGGGAUCUGAGAGGAUGGCCCCCCACACUGGUACGGAGACACGGACCAGAACCCACCGGGGGGCCGCAGUAAGGAAUAUUGGGAAAGGGGGGGAAGCCUGAACCAGCCAGGCGGGGGGCAGGAAGCCGGCCCUAGGGGUUGGAAACUUCUUUUAUAGGGGAAUAACCCCAAAUACGUUUAUCUGGCUGAAUGUACUGAAAGAAUAAGGAUCGGCUAACUCCGU
Molecule: ribosomal RNA, 481 nt
Filed under: uncultured bacterium
Lineage: Bacteria
Description: partial 16S ribosomal RNA
Rfam family: Bacterial small subunit ribosomal RNA
Source: RNAcentral